Molecule: unclassified non-coding RNA, 200 nt
Filed under: Clitopilus sp.
Lineage: Eukaryota; Fungi; Basidiomycota; Agaricomycetes; Agaricales; Entolomataceae
Description: partial internal transcribed spacer 2
Source: RNAcentral
UUAAGUUCAGCGGGUAGUCCUACCUGAUUUGAGGUCAGAUUGUCAAAGGUUGUCCAUGACAGACGAUUAGAAGCGGUACUUCAACAUGUCGCUUCCCAAUAGCGUAGAUAAUUAUCACACCAGAGGUUAGCAACAAAAGUUCUGCUAAUGCAUUUAAGGAAAGCCGACUUGUUAAAGCCCGCAGUUCCCAUGAUCCAAGC